UGGGGAAUAUUGGACAAUGGGCGAAAGCCUGAUCCAGCCAUGCCGCGUGUGUGAAGAAGGUCUUCGGAUUGUAAAGCACUUUAAGUUGGGAGGAAGGGCAUUAACCUAAUACGUUAGUGUUUUGACGUUACCGACAGAAUAAGCACCGGCUAACUCUGUGCCAGCAGCCGCGGUAAUACAGAGGGUGCAAGCGUUAAUCGGAAUUACUGGGCGUAAAGCGCGCGUAGGUGGUUUGUUAAGUUGGAUGUGAAAUCCCCGGGCUCAACCUGGGAACUGCAUUCAAGACUGACUGACUAGAGUAUGGUAGAGGGUGGUGGAAUUUCCUGUGUAGCGGUGAAAUGCGUAGAUAUAGGAAGGAACACCAGUGGCGAAGGCGACCACCUGGACUAAUACUGACACUGAGGUGCGAAAGCGUGGGGAGCAAACA
RNAcentral lists this ribosomal RNA (427 nucleotides) under uncultured bacterium. RNAcentral's name for it is "partial 16S ribosomal RNA". It matches the Rfam family "Bacterial small subunit ribosomal RNA", at positions 355 to 774 of the family's 1533-position model. The record is from RNAcentral.